GUUAAAAAGCUCGUAGUUGGAUUUCUGUCGAGGAUGACCGGUCCGCACUUUGUGCGUGCAUCUGGUUCAGCCUUGGCAUCCUCCUGGGGAACGUAUCUGCGCUUAAUUGCGUGGUGCGGUAUUCAGGACUUUUACUUUGAGGAAAUUAGAGUGUUCACGGCAGGCAAUCGCCUUGAAUACAUUAGCAUGGAAUAAUAAUAUAGGACCUUGGUCCCAUUUUGUUGGUUUCUGGAACUAAGGUAAUGAUUAAUAGGGAUAAUUGGGGGCAUUCGUAUUAACGUGUCAGAGGUGGAAUUCUUGGAUUACGUUACGACGAACUACUGCGAAAGCAUUUGCCAAGGAUGUUUUCAUUGAUCAAGAACGAAAGUUCGGGGAUCGAAGAUGAUUAGAUACCAUCGUAGCCCGAACCAUAAACUAUGCCAACUAGAGAUGGGCGAUCGUUAUUUUUUUGACUUCGUCCGCACCUUAUGAGAAAUCAAAGUCUUUGGGUUCCAGGGGGAGUAUGGUCGCAAGGCUGAAACUUAAAGGAAUUGACGGAAGGGCACCACCAGGAGUGGAGCCUGCGGCUUA
Molecule: ribosomal RNA, 570 nt
Filed under: uncultured marine eukaryote
Lineage: Eukaryota
Description: SSU rRNA
Rfam family: Eukaryotic small subunit ribosomal RNA
Source: RNAcentral